This 972-nucleotide long non-coding RNA is filed under the name Fukomys damarensis (Damara mole-rat). RNAcentral describes it as "lncRNA (ENSFDAG00000022280.1)". Lineage: Eukaryota; Metazoa; Chordata; Mammalia; Rodentia; Bathyergidae. The record is from RNAcentral.
GACUUGGUAGGCCCAGCAAAGUUUCUGGGGACAUGCAGAGCUUCACGUCAUUCCUUAUAACUCAUCCAGUUUUAAAUGCAGACCUGUAUCACUUGUCACGUAACUGGAGCUUCCUCAAGUGAGAAGUACAAAAUCUAAACAGUUCCGUGCUGCUUCAGAGCAAAAGAUUUGAGUCAGCCCCCAAAGAGAUAAUACUAAAAAUCAGUUCAAACCCAUACAAGGGAUAAAUACAUACAACUCAUUUGUUGUUUUCAAAGUGAACUAAAAAUUGGCUUAUGUCCAUGUCCUACCUCGGCAUCUUCCCAAGAUGUGUCCUUGACUGACGGGGCAUCACCAGAGAUGUCCAUUACAAUCCUACUGACGUCUUCCCAUUUCAGCAGCCCGAAGAAAAUGACAACCAUCUGGAAGCCAGUGGAGAUAUUUGAAUGGGGAAAAUCUUUUCCUAACCUGACUCAAGAUCUGACCCAACAGACCCGUGUUAGUGAGGGCUUUGUGUUAUGGAUCUGAUGGACAGAUCGAAAUUGUGCUACAGAGAAAGUACUUUGGGACCUUUGUGGAAAAAGACAUUUCUAGAGAUUUGUCCAUGGGAAGCAAAUUAAGCACCUGGACAAGUCUCUGUCUUCCAAUCAUGAAGGAGCCCGCAGAACUCUCCUGCCUGCCUGCCUGCUCCCUGCACAGUUACGCUUGCUUCACCCAAUAGAUCCCUCAGAUCUCAGCCCAAUAAUUUCUGAGACAGGGAGACUUCUUUACACACCUGAUUGCAUAAUAUCAAAAGAAAACUAAGAUAAUAAUAUGAACAUUGGUAAAAGUAUCAUUAUUUGUGGUGCAUGGAGGAGAGCACAACCUUUGAAAGACCCAGACUUCUUACACAAAUUAAAUGAGAUAUUAAUGGAGUCCAAGGAGUCUCAUUGUUUAAAAAUUACUUUGAAUUUUAACAUCUCAGUUUGGGAAUGUAGCAGCAUGUGGAAAUAG